CCUACGGGAGGCAGCAGUGAGGAAUAUUGCGCAAUGGGCGAAAGCCUGACGCAGCGACGCCGCGUGAGGGAUGAAGGUCUUCGGAUCGUAAACCUCUGUCAGCAGGGAAGAACGGUCACUGUGCUAAUCAGCCGUGAAUUGACGUUACCUGCAAAGGAAGCACCGGCUAACUCCGUGCCAGCAGCCGCGGUAAUACGGAGGGUGCGAGCGUUAACCGGAAUUACUGGGCGUAAAGCGCUCGUAGGCGGUAUGCCAAGUCAAGGGUGAAAUCCCCGCGCUCAACGUGGGAACUGCCUUUGAAACUGGCAAACUGGAGUGUGGGAGAGGAUAGUGGAAGUCCAGGUGUAGGAGUGAAAUCCGUAGAUAUCUGGAGGAACAUCAGUGGCGAAGGCGACUAUCUGGCACAUAACUGACGCUGAGGAGCGAAAGCGUGGGUAACAAACAGGAUUAGAUACCCCUGUAGUC
RNAcentral lists this ribosomal RNA (465 nucleotides) under uncultured bacterium. Its description in RNAcentral is "partial 16S ribosomal RNA". It matches the Rfam family "Bacterial small subunit ribosomal RNA", at positions 338 to 795 of the family's 1533-position model. The record is from RNAcentral.